ACUCAAAUGAAUUGACGGGGGCCCGCACAAGCAGCGGAGCGUGUGGAUUAAUUCGAUGCAACGCGCAGAACCUUACCUAGGCUUGACAUGGCACGUUCAUCCACCGAAAGGUGGUGCCCGCAAGGGGAGUGUCACAGGUGCUGCAUGGCUGUCGUCAGCUCGUGCCGUGAGGUGUUGGGUUAAGUCCCGCAACGAGCGCAACCCCCGUCCCCAGUUGCCGUUUCUGGGGAGACUGCCGGGCGAACCCCGGAGGAAGGUGGGGAUGACGUCAAGUCCGCAUGGCCCUUACGUCUAGGGCGUCACACACGCUACAAUGGCCGGUACAGCGGGACGCCACUUCGUGAGAAGGAGCCAAUCCCCCAAAGCCGGCCCCAGUACGGAUCGUAGGCUGCAACCCGCCUGCGUGAAGUCGGAGUUGCUAGUAACCGCGCGUCAGCACAGUGCGGUGAAUGCGUUCCCGGGCCUUGUACACACCGCCCGU
Molecule: ribosomal RNA, 481 nt
Filed under: uncultured bacterium
Lineage: Bacteria
Description: partial 16S ribosomal RNA
Rfam family: Bacterial small subunit ribosomal RNA
Source: RNAcentral